GAUGAAGAACGUAGCUAAAUGCGAUACUUGGUGUGAAUUGCAGAAUCCCGUGAACCAUCGAGUCUUUGAACGCAAGUUGCGCCCGAAGCCACUAGGCCGAGGGCACGCCUGCCUGGGCGUCACACGCCGUUGCCCCCCCAUCUACUCCUUCGGGAUUGCGGGGGGGCGGAUGAUGGCCUCCCGUGCGCCUAGCCGCGCGGUUGGCAUAAAUACCAAGUCCUCGGCGACGCACGCCACGACAAUCGGUGGUUGCGAAACCUCGGUUGCCCGUCGUGUGCGUUCGUCGCGCAUCGAGGGCUCGAAAAAAUGCUCGGCUCCGGCUGGGCUUUCAACGCGACCCCAGGUCAGGCGGGGUUACCCGCUGAAUUUAAGCAUAUCAAUAAGCGGAGGA
This 391-nucleotide unclassified non-coding RNA is filed under the name soil metagenome. RNAcentral describes it as "partial contains 5.8S ribosomal RNA, internal transcribed spacer 2, and large subunit ribosomal RNA". The stretch from base 1 to 122 matches the Rfam family "5.8S ribosomal RNA", at positions 35 to 154 of the family's 154-position model. The record is from RNAcentral.